Molecule: ribosomal RNA, 301 nt
Filed under: uncultured bacterium
Lineage: Bacteria
Description: partial 16S ribosomal RNA
Rfam family: Bacterial small subunit ribosomal RNA
Source: RNAcentral
CAGCAGCCGCGGGAAUACGAAGGUCCCGAGCGUUGUUCGGAAUCACUGGGCGUAAAGGGAGCGUAGGCGGCGUGGUAGGUCAGAUGUGAAAUCCCGGGGCUCAACCCCGGAACUGCAUCCGAUACUGCCAUGCUAGAGGAUUGGAGAGGUAGCUGGAAUUCUUGGUGUAGCAGUGAAAUGCGUGGAGAUCAAGAGGAACACUCGUGGCGAAAGCGAGCUACUGGACAAUAACUGACGCUGAGGCUCGAAGGCCAGGGUAGCGAAAGGGAUUAGAUACCCCUGUAGUCCCUGUCUCUUAUAC